This 985-nucleotide long non-coding RNA is filed under the name Physcomitrium patens. RNAcentral describes it as "long non-coding RNA (PPAT_LNC001078)". Lineage: Eukaryota; Viridiplantae; Streptophyta; Bryopsida; Funariales; Funariaceae. The record is from RNAcentral.
GAUCCCUAAUCUAGAUCUACGGCCUUCAUUCAUCCAAGAGCCAAUCUCAUUACCAAAGCUGAUGGCUCUUGUAAGUGGUCAAGAAAGCAUUUUUUUUUGUAAAUCUAACUUCACUAUUGUCUUCAAAACACCUUUCUAAGCUAAGAUCGACUACUCAUAUGUCUCAAUCCAUGCUCAAUUAUAAUUUUCAUGGAAGUUUUUACUUACAAGGAUCUUGGCAAUUUAUGUGAAAUUCUUCAAAAUGAGAAUUUCAUUGCUUUUCUUGUAUUUUGAAGGAGAGGUUGCUGAUCUUGUUUUCUUUGCUCGAUGAGGUAAAUCCGGUGCCACCAUUGCAUUAAAAAGACUUCCAUUAAGUAGAAGAACCACCAUGCCACUUAAAUUUGUCAAAUUUGGAGAAAAAUCCAAAAUUACCAUUGCUAACUUUCCUAAAUCUUUUAGAGAAUUAUAAUUCCAACUCCUAAAUCAUGUGAAUGAUUAUAGAUGCACUCAUGAACUUAUAGAUGCACUCAUAGUCAACCCUUAUAGUAAUGACUAACAACCUCUAAAUUAUUAAACUAACAAAGUUGCUAUUCUAAUUUUCUAACUCUUAUCAGUUUAGUCCAAUUAACCUAAUUCAAUGAAUUAGGCUAUGAUUUAUACCAUCAAGGGUUGUAAUCCCAAAAAUUCUAUAAAACUGAAUUCUACUUAUAUAAAUCCUAAUCUAACAUAUUUAAUUAUCAUAAAAUAGGAAAAUAAUAAAAAUUAAAUUUUAGAACAUAAUUGAGAGCUCACACUAAUCCUAAAUCAAAUCCUAAUCUUAAAUCAAAUCCUAAAUCAAAUCCUAAUCCUAAAUCAAAUCGUAACCAAAUCCUAACCAAAUUCUAAUUCUAAAUCAAAUCUUAACCAAAUCUUAAUCAAAUCCUAAUCCUAAAUCAAAUCCUAAUGAAACUUUAAUCCUAAACCUAAACCCUAAAUCAAAUCCUAAUCCUAAAUCAAAUCCUAACCA